This 437-nucleotide ribosomal RNA is filed under the name uncultured bacterium. RNAcentral's name for it is "partial 16S ribosomal RNA". It matches the Rfam family "Bacterial small subunit ribosomal RNA", at positions 338 to 795 of the family's 1533-position model. The record is from RNAcentral.
CCUACGGGUGGCUGCAGUGGGGAAUAUUGGACAAUGGGGGGAACCCUGAUCCAGCGACGCCGCGUGAGUGAAGAAGUAUUUAGGUAUGUAAAGCUCUAUCAGCAGGGAAGAAAAUGACGGUACCUGACUAAGAAGCCCCGGCUAACUACGUGCCAGUAGCCGCGGUAAUACGUAGGGGGCAAGCGUUAUCCGGAUUUACUGGGUGUAAAGGGAGCGUAGGCGGUGCAGAAAGUCUGAUGUGAAAGGUCGGGGCCCAACCCCGGGAUUGCAUGGGAAACUGUUGAACUGGAGUAUAGGAGAGGUAAGCGGAAUUCGUAGUGUAGCGGUGAGAUGCGUAGAUAUUAGGAGGAACACCAGUGGCGACAGCGGCUUACUGUACUGUAACUGACGUGGAGGCUCGAAAGCGUGGGGAGCAAACAGGAUUAGAUACCGUAGUC